GGUGCGGUCUGUGUCUUUUUGGUAAAUGGGCAGUAUUUUUAGAAGGUCCUCUUUGAAACUGUGCUUCCCCCUGGGCCACCACCUUCCGCAUCCAACUUGAGAAAAUAUUCUCGAUCUUUUUGCCAUCAAAAGUCCUUUUUGGGGUUCAUUUUCGUCCCUUCACACUGCAUGCAGGAUUUGAAAGGCUAAGUGUAGACACUAAACAGGUGUCUGAAAUAACAAUUCAUUUCUCUCUCCCCCAAGGGAAAUCAAGUGUUGCCGGAAUGUUCUAACUCAGACUUAAACUAUCUGAAGAUCAGUGCACGCAUCUCUUCUGUGCACAGCAUAACGUUCCAUCUCAGCUGGUGGGAGAUGAAUGGGAGCUCAGAUGGUGAGCUUUGGGGUGAAAUUUCCCAACUUUGAGAUUAUCCCUACCUACCAACGCACUACAAUCUGGACUCAGGAUUACCAUCUCUCAGAUGGGGCCAUUUGCAUUAUUCAUUUAAAUGAGACAAAGGAUUUCCAUUUCCAGUAUGGCUGACCAGCUCCCAUAUGAUCAACGCUACCACAGGUAACAACUAUAAACUCUGGGGA
This 573-nucleotide non-coding RNA is filed under the name Pongo abelii (Sumatran orangutan). Lineage: Eukaryota; Metazoa; Chordata; Mammalia; Primates; Hominidae. The record is from RNAcentral.